CCUCCGCAGCCGUGUGGGGCAGGGCGGCGCGGCCGGCCUCGGGCUCUCGGAACGGCGGGAGCGGCAGGUGCCCCCGCGCCGGCUCGGAACGCAGUGCGCGGAAGCGGCGCCUCAAAAGCUUUGGAGAAGCUAUCCUAAUAAUUUCUGGGAUAAUGGUCCCAUUAAACAGCAAAUACACAUAUGGUGCUGAAGCCUUCUUUCUCUGAAAAAGGUCAUUUUCCCUGGUGAUGGGCUCAACUGGAGCAUUAAUGAACAGAAAGACAAGAGCUCCAGCUGAGAAGGUGCUGUUGACA
Molecule: long non-coding RNA, 293 nt
Organism: Trachemys scripta elegans
Lineage: Eukaryota; Metazoa; Chordata; Testudines; Emydidae
Exons: 3
Source: RefSeq, a predicted model, not a curated record